RNAcentral lists this long non-coding RNA (2465 nucleotides) under Homo sapiens (human). Its description in RNAcentral is "HSALNT0396635". Lineage: Eukaryota; Metazoa; Chordata; Mammalia; Primates; Hominidae. The record is from RNAcentral.
GACCGUGAUGUAUCUUCUGGCCCAGAAAUCAGGCGAUGUGUUUCUCCUGCCUGAGCUUUGCUCACAGGGAGCAUUGUGACAUAUCACUGAGCCCAGCACCCAGGUGAUGGGACUCUACUGCCUGUCCCCUGCUUUCAGGAGGAAAUUGUAACAUAUCUCUGACCAAGCACCCAGGUGAUAAGUCUUCUGCCUGGUGCCUGUUCUCAGGGAAGAUUGUGACAUAUCCCUGGCCCAGCAACCAGAUGAUGCAGAUGACGUAUCUCUCCUGCUCACUCUCUAUCCACAGGUAAGAUUAUGACAUAUAAUCACGCCCAGCUAAUUUUUGCCUUUUAAUAGAGAAGGGGUUUCGCCAUGUUGGCCAGGCUAGUCUCGAAUUCCUGACCUCAGGUGAUCUGCCCACCUUGGCCUCCCAAAGUGCUCAGAUUACAGGCGUGAGCCAUGGUCGCUGGCCUAGGGAGUGUGACUUUCUUUUUGCUGCCUGUUCUCUACUCAACGGGGUAAUUGUGACAUAUUGCUGGUCCCAGCUCCUAGCUGAUGUGACUGUUUUCUUUUUCCUAGGUUCUGCCCACAAAGGAGAUUGUGGCAUACUGCUGGGCCUAACACUAAGGUGAUGUUACUUCUCUGCUUUGGCUAUGUCCUUAGAAGGCAUUGAGACACACUGCUGGGCCCAGCACCAAGAUGAUGUGAGUCCUCUGCCUGAACCCUGACCACAGGGAGCAUUGUGACAUAUUUCUUGACCCACUGCAAUCUCUCCUAUGGACAAAGCCCAGGUGUUAUGACUCUCGUCUUUUCACUGGAACCUGCCAAAAAGGGUGAUUGUGACAUAUCACUGGACCCAGCACCUUGGUGAUGUGACUCUCCUCUCCUCCUUAGGCCCUGCUUACAUUGUGUCUGUUGAAAUACGGCUGGUCCAACACCUAGGUAAUGUGACUCUCCUGCAUAGGCCUUGCUAAUAGGGGAUGUAUGACAUAUGUUUUGUUUAUCACUUAAGUGAUGUUACUCUCCUUUUCUUCCUGAAUCCUGUAAAAGGUGGGGGAUUGUGACCCUAUCACUGGACCCAGCACAUAAGUAAUAUGAGUUUCCUGCAUAGGCUCUGUUCAGAAGGGUAUUAUGACAUAUCUUUUUGUUCAUCACUUUGUGACUUGUCUUUUGACUGGAACCUGCCAAAAAGGGUGAUUGUGACAUAUUGCUGGACCCAGCACCUAGGUGAUGUGGCUCUCCUUUUUUUCUGGGCCUCACAUAUUUUGGGUAUUGUGAUGUAUAGCUGGGCUCAACACCUAGCAGUUGGGGAGCUCCUUUCUUGACCAUUCCCACAAAUGACAUAUCUCUGCUAUGACCGCCUAUGACACAUGACCUAAAUAUGUGACCCUUCUUUUCUGCCUGUACCCUGCUAACAGAGAAGAUUGUGACAAAUUGCUAAGUGCAUUGUAUCUUGUGCUAACCUUCUAUCUCAGCCUGUGACCAAGAAUGCCUAACUGCCGGGGAAUGCAGCCCUGUAGGUCUCAACCUCAAUUUGCCCAGCCACUAUUCAAAAUAGAGUCACUCUGGUUUAAAUGCCUCUGACAUUAAGAUACACUGUAAAAUUAUGAAAAAAGUUGAUUUGAAUUUUAGCAAAUGAGAAAUGAAAUAAUUAGAAUGGGCUAUUCUGAAAGAUAUAGCAUUAGUUAUAUUUGUGUUUGAGUUUUCUAUUAACCUAUAUUUGUUACUUAUGAAUAGAUACCUUGUUUUAUUCUGUCUAAACAGAUACACUAGGUGGGGUGCGGUGGCCAUGCCUGUAAUCCCAGCACUUUGGGAGGCCGAGGGGAGUGGAUCACCUGAGGUCAGGAAUUUGGGACAAGCCUGACCAACAUGGCAAAACCCUGUCUCUACUAAAAAUACAAAAAUCAGCUGACCAUGGUGGCGGGUGCCUGUAAUCCCAGCUACUUCAGAGGCUGAGGCAGGAGAAUUGCUUGAACCCGAGAGGUGGAGGUUGCAGUGAGCCAAGAUCAUGCCACUGCAUUCCACCCUGGGUGACAGAGCGAGACUCUGUCUCAAAAAAUAAGAAAAAAUAAGCGGCCGGGCAUGCUGGCUCACGCCUGUAAUCCCAACACUUUGGGAGGCCGAGGAGGGUGGAUCGCAAGGUCAGGAGUUCAAGACCAGCCUGGCCAAGAUGGUGAAACCCUGUCUCUACUAAAAAUACAAAAAUUAGCCACGUGUGUUGGCAGGUGCCUGUAAUCCCAGCUACUCGGGAGGCUGAGGCAGAGAAUUGCUUGAACCCAGGAGGCAGAGUUUGCAGUGAGCCGAGAUCUCACCAUUGCACUCCAGCCUGGGUGACAGAGGGAGAUUCUGUCUCAAAAAAAAAAAAAGGACAUAAAUUUAAUGUUAAGUGUGGACUCAUAAAGAAUCUAGACAGCCACCAAGCCAUUUGUUUAUUCUUGAUUUCUUAAAGCUUCCAUUAUUAAAAGCUCUGCAUUCCAUUACUCAUC